Molecule: ribosomal RNA, 253 nt
Filed under: uncultured bacterium
Lineage: Bacteria
Description: partial 16S ribosomal RNA
Rfam family: Bacterial small subunit ribosomal RNA
Source: RNAcentral
UACGGAGGGUGCAAGCGUUAUCCGGAUUCACUGGGUUUAAAGGGUGCGUAGGUGGGUUGGUAAGUCAGUGGUGAAAUCCCCGAGCUUAACUUGGGAACUGCCAUUGAUACUAUCAGUCUUGAAUAUUGUGGAGGUCAGCGGAAUAUGUCAUGUAGCGGUGAAAUGCUUAGAUAUGACAUAGAACACCAAUUGCGAAGGCAGCUGGCUACGCAUAUAUUGACACUGAGGCACGAAAGCGUGGGGAUCAAGCAGG